GCCGAAGAGGGGAAAGGUUCCAUGUGAACGGCACUUGCACAUGGGUUAGUCGAUCUUAAGAGACGGGGGAAGCCUGUCCGAUAGCGCGUUCAGCGCGAGCUUCGAAAGGGAAUCAGGUUAAAAUUUCUGAACCGGGACGCGGCGGCUGACAGCAAUGUUAGGGGGUCCGGAGAAGUCGGCGGGGGCCUUGGGAAGAGUUAUCUUUUCUGUUUAACGGCCUGCCCACCCUGGAAACGGCUCAGCCGGAG
RNAcentral lists this non-coding RNA (248 nucleotides) under Gossypium arboreum. RNAcentral describes it as "Eukaryotic large subunit ribosomal RNA". It matches the Rfam family "Eukaryotic large subunit ribosomal RNA", at positions 1490 to 1740 of the family's 3401-position model. The record is from Rfam by way of RNAcentral. Lineage: Eukaryota; Viridiplantae; Streptophyta; Magnoliopsida; Malvales; Malvaceae.